Molecule: non-coding RNA, 246 nt
Organism: Pelobates cultripes (western spadefoot toad)
Lineage: Eukaryota; Metazoa; Chordata; Amphibia; Anura; Pelobatidae
Source: the annotation of a GenBank genome assembly
AGGACACCCCUAUUCCCUCCCACUUAUUCUGUACCCUUCCCCGACCCAAAGAGCUAGAGUCAGGACAAACGUCAUGUGCAGAGUAACUUAGAAUAAGCAACUACCAAAUGACGAAAACGCAGUAUGUACAACACACAAGAAUUACAUGCAUGACUGUUAUACCUUACAAAUGCCAAAUGUACUCUAUGCAGAAUGUACCAAUACCCUUACUCCCCCGUUGUUUUCUGUACCCCAACCCAAACAAAC